UAGGGAAUCUUCCGCAAUGGGCGAAAGCCUGACGGAGCAACGCCGCGUGAGUGAUGAAGGUCUUCGGAUCGUAAAACUCUGUUAUUAGGGAAGAACAAAUGUGUAAGUAACUAUGCACGUCUUGACGGUACCUAAUCAGAAAGCCACGGCUAACUACGUGCCAGCAGCCGCGGUAAUACGUAGGUGGCAAGCGUUAUCCGGAAUUAUUGGGCGUAAAGCGCGCGUAGGCGGUUUUUUAAGUCUGAUGUGAAAGCCCACGGCUCAACCGUGGAGGGUCAUUGGAAACUGGAAAACUUGAGUGCAGAAGAGGAAAGUGGAAUUCCAUGUGUAGCGGUGAAAUGCGCAGAGAUAUGGAGGAACACCAGUGGCGGAGGCGACUUUCUGGUCUGUAACUGACGCUGAUGUGCGAAAGCGUGGGGAUCAAACAGG
RNAcentral lists this ribosomal RNA (429 nucleotides) under Actinomycetes bacterium. RNAcentral describes it as "Actinobacteria bacterium partial 16S ribosomal RNA". It matches the Rfam family "Bacterial small subunit ribosomal RNA", at positions 355 to 776 of the family's 1533-position model. The record is from RNAcentral. Lineage: Bacteria; Bacillati; Actinomycetota; Actinomycetes.